GUGUUUAUAUGGAAUAGAACUUUUUUAAUUAAAAUAUUCACUUUUGUACACAUUUUCUUUAAAUAUCAGAUGUAUACUUGCUAAAAUUACUUUUAUUUAGAGUUCUGUAAAUAAAAAAAAAUGUAAGCAGAGCUCUAGCUAUAGAUAAUAGAUUUGGAGGGUGGGAGAAAUUGUGGGUAACUACAAUUGAUUAGGUGAAAUUUCAAAAGACUUAAAAAGUGCAUCUGAUAUUUAUUUUUACAUAAUGUUAUUUCUGAAAGCAAAUGGACAAUAAGAUGACAUAAACCACCUUCCAGGUUAGGAUAGCAGCUCUUAAGGAAGAUGGUCAAUUAAAUCUUCAACCCAGUCUGAGGCCUUACCAUGAAAAAUAUGUGGUUGUUGAAAUUACAAUGUUUUCAUGGUGUGGGGAGUAAGACUUGAAUAUCUGAUAUUGUUAACAUGAUGGUUAGCAUCACAAGUUUCCUUUGGGUAACUUGCUUGAGGAGUAAAGAGAGCUGUUUAAGUUGAAAGUGUCACCUUUGCUGCCUUGUGUGGUACAAUCUUCAGACAAUAUCCUGCAAACUGUGGCUGAACUGUUACUAUCUUUUUUUAGUAGAAUCCUUAGACAGUAAUCUUGUGGCAGAAUGAGUUGUAAACAAAUUGUUUUUAUUCCUGUAUUGAGUUUCAAAUUGGAUAUUUUUUUAUUUAUAUUAUUUGUAUUCCAUUUGCAUUCAAUUAUUGUUUUUUAAUUGAUGAAUCAUUAAAACUUAAAUUUUGCGGGGUCCUAAAGGACUUUCUUAGAGGGGGCCAGCGGGGAUAUUUAAUAAAGAUUAAUAUGCUUAGAAAUUUGGUGUGAGUAAAUAAACUUUACUUUUUAUUUUGAAACAGCAUGUGAUUAAAAAUAUGAAAUGAAUUGUUAAACAUAUCCUUGGUGAUCUAAUAAUUUUUUGCACAGAUCAAGAUAUUUAGUCAGUGGUGGAUCCAGAAAUUUUCCAGGAAUAUGGGGGGCACUGACUGCUUCAGCGGGGCCCUGCUCCAGUCAUGUUUUACUGAUUCCCUAAAUAUUAAACAAAAUUUUUCCCACUGAAGGGGCCCUCUCAAAAAUCCUCUUAAUCCACGUCUCUGCUAUUUUGUUUUUUUAUAACCCAGUAAAUAAGUUGAGUUUGUUCUCAAAAAAUAAUUUGAUUCAUGUACUUUUUAUUGUAGCAUAAACAUAGCUUUAAUUUCCUUUGUUUAAGAAUUGUAAUGUUUUUUUAAUGUCAUUUUUAAAAGUUGGCACUAAUUGAGGAUUCUGUUGUUUAUGGAAUUCUUUUAUAAGUUUGGUUAGCAAUAAAAAGUGUUUUUUUAUUAAACAAAGAAUAAUUACUCUGUUUACAGAAUUUAAUACAUGUAUCAAAAAUUAGACAUGAUUUAAUUUAAUUCAUAAUGCUUAUUUAAUUGGAAAUUACAUUAGGAUUAUCUCCCCCUAAUUAGUAUUCAAAACAAUAUUAUAAAAACAACCCGGAAAAUAAAUAGAAUCCUCAGUAAUGUCAACAUUUAUUUUGUAUAAAUGUAAUAUUAUGCUAAUGAUACAAAACCCAUGAUGCAGAUCCUUUUCCUCCUUUUUAUUGUAGAGAUAAUUUACAGACGUGUCCAAAAUCAUAUCCCUAGAAUCAAUUUGUUUUUUGAUAUUCGUACACACCUAACAAAAGCAGAUUGUGUUUGGUUUCAUUUGGAUAUUUUGUAUCAUUGUGAUAUAUCAUAAUAAUUAUAAUUUGUAAAUAAAAUAUAUUUGAAAAACCAGCCUCAUUUCAUUUGAAUUUGGAUAAGUAAAGGGGGAAGAGAUUUCUGUGGUCCACGGUAUGACACACAUGCAGAUGAUUUAUAUUUCCAUUAGGUGUCGAUCAUCAUCAUUCAACUUUUUUAAGAAUUUUUUGUGUAAUUUCUUUGCUGGUUUGAAUAAGACCCAAAAUAAACGAUGCUUUAAGCACUA
Molecule: long non-coding RNA, 1951 nt
Organism: Mytilus trossulus (common blue mussel)
Lineage: Eukaryota; Metazoa; Mollusca; Bivalvia; Mytilida; Mytilidae
Exons: 4
Source: RefSeq, a predicted model, not a curated record